Long non-coding RNA from Lagopus leucura (white-tailed ptarmigan), 1326 nucleotides. RefSeq lists it as uncharacterized. The record is from RefSeq and is a predicted model, not a curated record. The transcript has 4 exons. NCBI's taxonomy places the organism in Eukaryota, Metazoa, Chordata, Aves, Galliformes, Phasianidae.
GCGAAAGCGUGGGGGCAACCCUUCGGCCUGGGUUGCUGCUCCCAUCCGCACAGCUUGAGCCUGGCCAGCUGGAGCGCGCUACUGCUCGAGCCUGGGGCACGGCCCGAGGAAGGGCACAGUCCGAGGUGUGCUUCCUCAGCUUCGAGCCUUACCCGCUCCGUCUGAGAAACAGCGUGGGCUUCACGCGGUGCCAACACGUGGAAGCUCCGGGGAGCACUGGGCACUUCAGGGACAAGGCAGCAAGCCAGGAGCCUCUGUGCAGGUUGUGAAGAUCUCCCCAGAAGCUAGAGCAGCUGUGUGGGGAACUCCUGGGGAUGGCAAAAAGGUCUAAGUGAAGUCUGGGUUUCACUGAAGAAGAUAACGUGAUCCAUUGCCCUUCUACUUCACACAGCACUGGUCAGUGCCUACCUGCCGCUUGCGUGGAUAAGAUAGCUUGAACUUCAUGCUGCAGUCCAACUGGCCUGAGGAGCUGUGUCUGACUUUCCUGCUGCCCUAUCUAUAUAAAGCCCUGAGAACUGAGGGUAUAAGUGGAAAGCAGAUGCAGGAUACCCUUUUCUCACUGUUGGAAGUUGAUAGUGGUACCUGAGGGCGGUCCUUCUCCGGGCACAGACCCCCAGACAGCCAGUCACCUGCUGCCUGGUUGUCCUGAAAGACCUUGAGGUGGAGUCAAGAUGGAAAGAAUGAGCCAGACAUGUGGACUGCAAACACAUUCACCUUCACAAGUGGGGACACCUGCUGAUAACCAUCUGCUGGAACGCACUGCAGUGAGCUGGUCAAGUUUUUGAGCACUGCGACUUUUCAUUUUGGGGUGUGGAAGCAGCCGUCUGAGGAUUGUGCUGGGCGAGGCUUUGUGGCUGCUGGGCUUGUUCAGUAAUCCUGAAUCCUUCAAUCCUCAGCCCCCUUUAUAUCGGCAGCGCAGUCCGGAGGGCCUGAAUGGCAGGAGCUGAUUAGCUGAGAGGGCUGAAGAGGCUGCAGUCUUCCCACUGGCAUUGUCUGGACCUGCAUGUGUGGCCUGGGCUUCACGGCACAUUAAAAGCUGCCUGUCCUCCUCCUCCAGCCUUCACCUCAGCCAUCUACAUUCUGUUCCUAUUGUACAGAGCUGCCAGGCUGGGCUUCAGCACAUGCCUUCUUCAUCCGGCAAGGGGGACCACCAUCGUGUUGACAAGGAUAUAAUGUAGCCCUAAAAAGCCGAGGGACUGAAAGUAGAAUGAAGCUAUUUAAACUGAUCUCCGAGGCCUUCUGUGGUGCUUAAAGGAUCAUUUUGUUAAUUAAAUGUAGGCACUUCAGUCUGGUGUUAUAGUAAUGCUUCUGAAUGCAGACAAAAUA